This 415-nucleotide long non-coding RNA is filed under the name Homo sapiens (human). RNAcentral describes it as "non-protein coding lnc-ZSWIM2-13:1". Lineage: Eukaryota; Metazoa; Chordata; Mammalia; Primates; Hominidae. The record is from RNAcentral.
AAAAAAAUGGUGUAUUUUCACAACAGAAUAUCAUUUGUCCACAAAAAAGAAUAAAAUUCUACCAUUUGUAGUAACAUGGAUGAACCUGGAGGACAUUAUGUCAAGUUAAAUAAACCAGGAACAGAAAGACAAAUAUUGUGUGUUCUCGCUCAUAUAUGGAAUCUUAAAAAGUUGAUCGGAUAGAAACAGAGAGAAAAAUAAUGGUUACCAGAGGCUGGGAAGGUUAGGCAUGAAGGGAAGAAGUACAAAGGUGGUCAAAGUAUACACAAUUAUAGAGUUCUAGUUAGAUAGGAUAAGUUCCAGUGUUGCAUUGCACAGUAGGUUGACCAUAGUUAACAAUACUAUACUGUAUAUUUCAAAAUAACUGGAACAAAUGAUUUUGAACCUUCUUACCACAAAAAAUGACAAAUGCCUG